RNAcentral lists this ribosomal RNA (506 nucleotides) under uncultured bacterium. RNAcentral's name for it is "partial 16S ribosomal RNA". It matches the Rfam family "Bacterial small subunit ribosomal RNA", at positions 29 to 523 of the family's 1533-position model. The record is from RNAcentral.
AGUGAACGCUGGCGGUAGGCCUAACACAUGCAAGUCGAACGGCAGCACAGGAGAGCUUGCUCUCUGGGUGGCGAGUGGCGGACGGGUGAGGAAUACAUCGGAAUCUACUCUGUCGUGGGGGAUAACGUAGGGAAACUUACGCUAAUACCGCAUACGACCUACGGGUGAAAGCAGGGGAUCUUCGGACCUUGCGCGAUUGAAUGAGCCGAUGUCGGAUUAGCUAGUUGGCGGGGUAAAGGCCCACCAAGGCGACGAUCCGUAGCUGGUCUGAGAGGAUGAUCAGCCACACUGGAACUGAGACACGGUCCAGACUCCUACGGGAGUCAGCAGUGGGGAAUAUUGGACAAUGGGCGCAAGCCUGAUCCAGCCAUACCGCGUGGGUGAAGAAGGCCUUCGGGUUGUAAAGCCCUUUUGUUGGGAAAGAAAUCCAGCUGGCUAAUACCCGGUUGGGAUGACGGUACCCAAAGAAUAAGCACCGGCUAACUUCGUGGCAGCCGCCGCGGUAA